CGGGAGGUACAGCUACUGAAUCAUAUAAGUGUCUUAUGUGAUGUCGUAAGGGAGAAUGAUGAUAUUACCUUACUAAUAGUGUCGUCUAAAACUGGUGCCAGAAGACUCGGUAAGGCCAGAGACACAAAUGUUAAUCGUCUUAAACAGGCGUAAAGGGUUUGUAGGCUGCUUUGAAAGUAUUGAUUUAAUAGCCGAAGUAAAUUAAAGAAUAUUAAGUUUUUAAUAUUUAAUUUUUAAUUUUAGUUUUUAGCAUUAAUUUGUUAAAAGUUUAAUUUAUUUAAAAAAAAUAAUAGAAUAUAAUUAUUUAAAAUAAUCAAUAAAUUGAAUAUAAUAAUUAAAAAGUUUACUUUUUAGUAGAUCAAUAUGAAUUAAAGCUAGAAUCUAAUAGAGGAUAUUUACGAAACAAUGCUUGGUCGAGGGCUGAUAUCCUAAGACACCAAGUGGAGUUCUAACGGCGUAAGCAUUUAUCCAUUAAAGAUUGACGCUGAGAAACGAAGGUGAGGAUAGGAAAUAGGAUUAGAUACCCAGAUACCCCUCUCUGUCAACGAUGAAUGGUAGUUUGUUAGUCAAAUAAGAGACUAGUGACGAAGUUAACACGAUAACCAUUCCGCCUUGUGAGUACGACUGCAAAGUUGAAAACAAAAAAAUUAGUCGGUCUCGACAAGUCAA
RNAcentral lists this ribosomal RNA (669 nucleotides) under Steccherinum hirsutum. RNAcentral's name for it is "Steccherinum sp. YW-2020c partial small subunit ribosomal RNA". It matches the Rfam family "Bacterial small subunit ribosomal RNA", at positions 406 to 933 of the family's 1533-position model. The record is from RNAcentral. Lineage: Eukaryota; Fungi; Basidiomycota; Agaricomycetes; Polyporales; Steccherinaceae.